AGUGGGGAAUUUUGGACAAUGGGCGCAAGCCUGAUCCAGCCAUUCCGCGUGCAGGAUGAAGGCCCUCGGGUUGUAAACUGCUUUUGUACGGAACGAAACGCGCCGGGUUAAUACCCUGGCGUAAUGACGGUACCGUAAGAAUAAGCACCGGCUAACUACGUGCCAGCAGCCGCGGUAAUACGUAGGGUGCAAGCGUUAAUCGGAAUUACUGGGCGUAAAGCGUGCGCAGGCGGUGAUGUAAGACAGGUGUGAAAUCCCCGGGCUUAACCUGGGAACUGCAUUUGUGACUGCAUCGCUGGAGUGCGGCAGAGGGGGAUGGAAUUCCGCGUGUAGCAGUGAAAUGCGUAGAUAUGCGGAGGAACACCGAUGGCGAAGGCAAUCCCCUGGGCCUGCACUGACGCUCAUGCACGAAAGCGUGGGGAGCAAA
RNAcentral lists this ribosomal RNA (427 nucleotides) under Ramlibacter tataouinensis. RNAcentral's name for it is "bacterial SSU rRNA". It matches the Rfam family "Bacterial small subunit ribosomal RNA", at positions 353 to 772 of the family's 1533-position model. The record is from RNAcentral. Lineage: Bacteria; Pseudomonadati; Pseudomonadota; Betaproteobacteria; Burkholderiales; Comamonadaceae.